RNAcentral lists this long non-coding RNA (387 nucleotides) under Panax ginseng (ginseng). RNAcentral's name for it is "long non-coding RNA (PGIN_LNC001491)". The record is from RNAcentral. Lineage: Eukaryota; Viridiplantae; Streptophyta; Magnoliopsida; Apiales; Araliaceae.
UGGCUUCCAACUUAAUCUCUCAUGUUCUCCAACUGACUUGACUGAUUAACUGUUUCCAUUGUGCUUGAAGUUGGUGGAUUGUUGCUUUAUGUAAGUUUGGUUCUAUACAUUCUUGUAGCAGGAGGUGUGUUAUUUCUGCUUGAUCCAUCUUGAUAUAUGACUUCGCCUGGAGUUGGCAUCUGCAUUUGACAUAACCAAGCACAAGUAUGGUUACAUAUGAAAAAUGACAAAUAAAAGUAAAUGAAAUACUUGCAAUUUAAAAAAGCUUUAACUCACAAAAACUAAGCCAGAGUUGUGUCCAUUCAUAUUAUCUAUAACAGCUCCCUCAGGACUAACAUAAACACCAUAUCCUGCUGGUACUUUAGCGCGGGUCUUUAUCCUCUUAAC